This 19-nucleotide transfer RNA is filed under the name Macropodus opercularis (paradise fish). RNAcentral's name for it is "partial tRNA-Thr". The record is from RNAcentral. Lineage: Eukaryota; Metazoa; Chordata; Actinopteri; Anabantiformes; Osphronemidae.
GCCCUAGUAGCUCAGCGAC